GCCUCGGUAGCUCAGCAUGGUAGAGCGCUGCAUUGGUAAUGCAGAGGUCGCGAGUUCAAAUCCCGCCUGAGGCA
RNAcentral lists this transfer RNA (74 nucleotides) under Candidatus Woesearchaeota archaeon. Its description in RNAcentral is "tRNA-Thr". It matches the Rfam family "tRNA". Rfam says of the family: Transfer RNA (tRNA) molecules are approximately 80 nucleotides in length. Their secondary structure includes four short double-helical elements and three loops (D, anti-codon, and T loops). The record is from RNAcentral. Lineage: Archaea; Nanobdellati; Candidatus Woesearchaeota.